Molecule: ribosomal RNA, 427 nt
Filed under: uncultured bacterium
Lineage: Bacteria
Description: bacterial SSU rRNA
Rfam family: Bacterial small subunit ribosomal RNA
Source: RNAcentral
UGGGGAAUAUUGGACAAUGGGGGAAACCCUGAUCCAGCGACGCCGCGUGGGUGAAGAAGGCCUGCGGGUUGUAAAGCCCUUUCGGUUGGGAAGAAAAGUUGCGACCUAACACGUCGCGACCUUGACGUAACCAACUAAAGAAGCACCGGCUAACUCUGUGCCAGCAGCCGCGGUAAUACAGAGGGUGCGAGCGUUAAUCGGAAUUACUGGGCGUAAAGCGCGCGUAGGCGGCUUGGCAAGUCGGGUGUGAAAUCCCCGGGCUCAACCUGGGAACUGCAUUCGAGACUGCUUCGCUAGAGUAUGGGAGAGGGAAGUGGAAUUUCCGGUGUAGCGGUGAAAUGCGUAGAUAUCGGAAGGAACAUCAGUGGCGAAAGCGACUUCCUGGACCAAUACUGACGCUCAUGUGCGAAAGCGUGGGGAGCAAACA